AAAAACCAUGCAUGCCACACACAGGUAUCAGACCCACUACUAAGGGGGAGUUAAACUAACUCCAUCUCCACCUGGCCACAAGUUACUUGCUGUCAAACUAGGACCAACAAACAUUUAUAAACGGAAUGGAAACCAACUAGCCAAAAAAACCAGCAAAAAGCCAAACAUGGGCCGCUGGAUUAGGAUUAGAAUAAAGCCCAACAAUAAUCCUGAACCGUAUGGGCUCAGGUCGCUGAACACCCGUUUCCCAAGCUGGCCCAAACGUGGAACCACCAAGGAAUCCAAGAGGCAGCCCUAGCCGCAUGGAUGUCGGGCAACGAACCAAGAAAGGUGGCCAUAAUUAAUUAUUAGCUAUCAGUGUUUAAUGAAAAGCUACAACAAUGAAAAGCCAAAAGAAACUUUGAUGACACGGUAACAUUUUCCAACAUAGGGCUUUUAAUUGCAUUAAAAAUCAAACAUGAGGAAAUUGGAAAAAAAACCAACAGUGAAUCCAACAAAAGCCAUCGUCUUCCUUCCUCAAGCAAAUCCAAACCAUUCUAAAAACCAAAUCUUCCCAUCUUUAGAAACAGUGAUAAAAAUCAGUAAGAAACAAAAAUAAACAGAAAACCAACAAAGAUGACGGAACUGAAGCUCAAACCAAAAGGAAAAUUCUAAACCAAAAUGAACACCUACAUUCUCAUCUAUUCUAUGGUCAAGCAAUGGACUGUUACCGGUUGAGAUUAAAUCGAAGACUCAAAGCGUGAGACGAGGAGGGGCUUAUCGGUCACAAACAAAAUUAAACGGUGAUUGGAAAGGCAACACCUGGAUCUUUCUUCCAAAAGCUCCCACAUCGAUUUGUCUUCUGCGGUUGCUCGUUCCUGUGCUCCACUUUUGGUAAAGGCUUUAUCCAAAAACCGGGCGUCAAGAUGAAGCUUUGCUACCGUUCUUCCAAGGAAAUCGCAGACUCUAGGUUUAUCUUUUCAGAAAUUUAUGUUUCUGUCGAACUUGCUAGCCUCCCCUUUCUUUUGUUUUUCGAUCUCCUAAUGUAACUGUUUCAUGAAUCCGUUAAAGAUAAAAACUAUUUCCUCUCUGUGGUCCCCCUCUCGUCUGCUCUUCCGUACCGUUGGUAAUGACCAUGAGCUAUGGCAACUGUGGGUGUAGUGGAGCGUGAACGCUCUGAAAUUUGUCUGCCCAAACUUGGUGGUCCCUCUUCAAUUCUUAUCCUAACCUUUACUGUUGGUAAUCCGCGAUUUACCGUUAUGAAUACAUGUUUUAUGAAAUUAUACUAAUUCGUGUAUUAUGCUACAUAUUUGGGAUGAACUAUCCUUUUGCAGGAGAAUGCAAUGUCUUGCCGACUGAAUUGGUUAUGCAUUCAACAAAAUCAGAGUGUGAAGACGAAAGCUUCUAUUUUGUUAUGACAGUUUUUUUCAACCACUCCUUUUUGACUUGUAGAAGCCGUCACCGGAUGAACCAAAUCCAGCCUUCUGCCUCUCAUUCAACAUGAUAUUUGCCAACUCCCAUGAAACACCGCGAUUCAAGAUGAAUGUGAACAAAACAGUUGAAGCCCCACUCAUUUGAUCAACAUAGGUUGUCUUUGGAGUCCCUUACAGUUCAAUUAUUUUAGCUUUCAAGUCAAUAAUGCAUGUGUCAAGGUUACCAUCAAUGCGAGUUUUUUGAACAAGAAGAUCCAAGAUAUUCACAAAUAGAUCAAAUAGCCCAUUCUGAGUCUUGAGAGCUAUUCCCAAAAGUCGGUUGAGAAAUCAUCCAAUAUCAUGUAUAUAUUUAUCAUUAAUGUGACAAGAUAACCAUCGAGGGUCAAUAUCAUCUCCAAGAAUGGCAUCCUUUAAAAUUCCAACAGAAACAAGAGCAACUUUUGCCUGCUUGAUAAAUCCUUGGAUUGUACCUAGUCUGUCAGAUAAGCAUCCUGGAGGAACAACAUGUUUGGGAGCUCGACCGAAUGGCGUUAUAGUUUCGACAUGAAGAAGAGAAAAUUCCCCGGUGAUGGAUCAUGAAAACCAAUUGACGUUAAAGAAACGAAACCAGAACAUGUCCUGAAGUGAACAACGGAUUAGAUUUUCUUGAGGUUGCUUGGUCUAGUGUUAAUGGCCAACAACUAAUUUUAUUAUAUCAUUUGCAAUGCUUGUAAUUCUUCUCAAUUAACAUACGAGUUUCGCCUCUGUAUGCCACUUCAAUUAAGAUUUGACGAAAAUUUGUUUCUUGCUCU
This is a long non-coding RNA of Lathyrus oleraceus (garden pea), 2203 nucleotides long. RefSeq lists it as uncharacterized. The record is from RefSeq and is a predicted model, not a curated record. The transcript is spliced from 2 exons. Lineage: Eukaryota; Viridiplantae; Streptophyta; Magnoliopsida; Fabales; Fabaceae.